GACGAACGCUGGCGGCGUGCUUAACACAUGCAAGUCGAACGGAAAGGCCCUGCUUUUGUGGGGUGCUCGAGUGGCGAACGGGUGAGUAACACGUGAGUAACCUGCCCUUGACUUUGGGAUAACUUCAGGAAACUGGGGCUAAUACCGGAUAGGAGCUCCUGCUGCAUGGUGGGGGUUGGAAAUUUUCGGCGGUUGGGGAUGGACUCGCGGCUUAUCAGCUUGUUGGUGGGGUAGUGGCUUACCAAGGCUUUGACGGGUAGCCGGCCUGAGAGGGUGACCGGCCACAUUGGGACUGAGAUACGGCCCAGACUCCUACGGGAGGCAGCAGUGGGGAAUAUUGCACAAUGGGCGGAAGCCUGAUGCAGCAACGCCGCGUGCGGGAUGACGGCCUUCGGGUUGUAAACCGCUUUCGCCUGUGACGAAGCGUGAGUGACGGUAAUGGGUAAAGAAGCACCGGCGAACUACGU
RNAcentral lists this ribosomal RNA (467 nucleotides) under uncultured bacterium. Its description in RNAcentral is "partial 16S ribosomal RNA". It matches the Rfam family "Bacterial small subunit ribosomal RNA", at positions 28 to 506 of the family's 1533-position model. The record is from RNAcentral.